UAGUAUUUGUUUUUCCAAAAGAAACUAACAAAUCAAACUCACGCAAAUUUGGAACCCCAAAUCCAAAUUCGCGGCAAGGAAAAUUGUAUCUUCAUCGGUGCCGGCGUUUCUACCGAGAUCGGCGGCCGCCGACAGAAGACAGGCAUCGUCAUCAUCCUCAUCUUCACCAUAUUCUUCUCCCAAAGCCAAUAAGAAAGUCACGGACAAUCGUCUCGCUUCCGUGAUUGAUGCCGUCAAUGACCGCAAACUCCCGCCGGAGCUCCGCGGACAGCGCAACAACGUCAGGUAUAUAUCUAAGCUCCAUACCUCAAGUGACUUGCCACAAGCUGAAAAGAUUGCUCUUUCAAAUUUGUUACUCGAAUGCAAACUCAAAUUUAGUUAUAUCAGAGAGAUUCUAGUUACUCGGGGCUGGAAAGUCCAUCGCUGAAAUAAAGAAAACCUUCAAGGUGCGGUCUGCAGGGUCAAGUAUCCCCCCCCCAAGAAGAUGUCGUCUGUGGACACGACCUCCUCCAGAGACGUCUCUGUGAGCAAUGCCAGUGACAUUGAAUCGGAAUGGAUAGAGGAGGAUGAGCCUGGUGUACACAUCACCAUCAGACAGCUUCUUGAUGGCACUAGAGAGCUUCGCCAUGUCAGAUUCAGCCGUGAAAAAUUUGGAGAGGUGCAUGCCAAGCAUUGGUGGGAAACUAACAGGGACAUGAUACAAACUCAGUAUCUUUGCUAGAACCAAGCUAAGAUAUAGAACGUGGAUCCUUGGUCAUGCAUGCUAUUGUUGCUGCCACUACACUUUCAGAUCUUCUAGGUGAUCAACGAUGAUGAUGAUGUUCGAAGAAGAUUGAUAUGGUCUAGGAUUUGGUGAUAUACAACGAUGCAUUGCUUGGCCGUAUUCCAAUAGAAUGGGAUGAAGAACUAAUUAGGUCGUAUUCGAAUUUAUCUACAAUUGGAGACGCAAUCGGAACAUGCAUUGCUUGGCCUCGCCCCUUGGUGAAAGCUAAUGACGAUUUGGAUUGAUGAGAAGCUGAAUAGCUUUAAAAGUGGAGCCUAGAUGUCCCAUUCUAAAAUAGUUGGUACCAAAGAGAACCUAUUCCAAAACACUUGAUAUAAUACACACUAUGUAAUAAGCUUCUUUACUCAUGAUUGAGAUCCUUUACCAGAAUAUUCCUUGGUGAUGUUUGAAAUUUCAAAUUUGAUAAAGUAUUGUUAUAUUGGGAUUGAUCUCA
Salvia miltiorrhiza (redroot sage) is the source of this 1217-nucleotide long non-coding RNA. RefSeq lists it as uncharacterized. The record is from RefSeq and is a predicted model, not a curated record. The transcript has 6 exons. NCBI's taxonomy places the organism in Eukaryota, Viridiplantae, Streptophyta, Magnoliopsida, Lamiales, Lamiaceae.